CACUAAGCUUCAGUCUAGAAUUGACCGUACCGCAAACCGUCACAGGUGGGCAGGAUGAAAAUUCUAAGGCGCUUGAGAGAACUUAGGAGAAGGAACUCGGCAAAUUAACACCGUAACUUCGGGAGAAGGUGUGCCCCGGUAGGUUGUAGAGCCUCGCGCUCGAAGGCCGAUGGGGUUGCAGUGAAAUGGUGGCUGCGACUGUUUAAUAAAAACACAGCUCUCUGCAAACACGAAAGUGGACGUAUAGGGAGUGACGCCUGCCCGGUGCCGGAAGGUUAAUUGAUGGGGUGCAAGCUCUUGAUCGAAGCCCCGGUAAAUGGCGGCCGUAACAAUAACGGUCCUAAGGUAGCGAAAUUCCUUGUCGGGUAAGUUCCGACCUGCACGAAUGGCGUAACGAUGGCCACACUGUCUCCUCCUGAGACUCAGCGAAGUUGAAAUGUUUGUGAAGAUGCAAUCUCCCCGCGGCAAGACGGAAAGACCCCAUGAACCUUUACUGUAGCUUUGCAUUGGACUUUGAACCGGUCUGUGUAGGAUAGGUGGGAGACUAUGAAACCGGGACGCUAGUCUCGGUGGAGUCAACCUUGAAAUACCACCCUGGUUUGUUUGAGGUUCUAACCUUGAUCCGUGAAUCCGGAUCGGGGACCGUGCAUGGUGGGCAGUUUGACUGGGGCGGUCUCCUCCCAAAAGGUAACGGAGGAGUACGAAGGUACGCUUAGGGCGGUCGGACAUCGCCCAUAAAGUGCAAUGGCAAAAGCGUGCUUGACUGCGAGACCCACAAGUCGAGCAGGUGCGAAAGCAGGUCAUAGUGAUCCGGUGGUUCUGUAUGGAAGGGCCAUCGCUCAGCGGAUAAAAGGUACUCUGGGGAUAACAGGCUUAUACCGCCCAAGAGUCCAUAUCGACGGCGGUGUUUGGCACCUCGAUGUCGGCUCAUCUCAUCCUGGGGCUGUAGCCGGUCCCAAGGGUAUGGCUGUUCGCCAUUUAAAGAGGUACGUGAGCUGGGUUUAAAACGUCGUGAGACAGUUUGGUCCCUAUCUGCCGUGGGCGCUGGAAAUUUGAAGGGGGCUGCUCCUAGUACGAGAGGACCGGAGUGGACGAACCUCUGGUGUACCGGUUAUGGCGCCAGUCGUAUCGCCGGGUAGCUAUGUUCGGAAGAGAUAAACGCUGAAAGCAUCUAAGCGUGAAACUCGCCUUAAGAUAAGAUUUCCCGGAGUCUUGAACUCCUUAAAGGGUCGUCGAAGACCACGACGUUGAUAGGUCAGGUGUGGAAGCGCAGUAAUGCGUUAAGCUAACUGAUACUAAUUGCCCGUACGGCUUGAUCAA
Molecule: ribosomal RNA, 1320 nt
Filed under: metagenome
Description: bacterial LSU rRNA
Rfam family: Bacterial large subunit ribosomal RNA
Source: RNAcentral